GACGAACGCUGGCGGCGUGCUUAACACAUGCAAGUCGAACGGAAAGGCCCUGCUUUUGUGGGGUGCUCGAGUGGCGAACGGGUGAGUAACACGUGAGUAACCUGCCCUUGACUUUGGGAUAACUUCAGGAAACUGGGGCUAAUACCGGAUAGGAGCUCCUGCUGCAUGGUGGGGGUUGGAAAGUUUCGGCGGUUGGGGAUGGACUCGCGGCUUAUCAGCUUGUUGGUGGGGUAGUGGCUUACCAAGGCUUUGACGAGUAGCCGGCCUGAGAGGGUGACCGGCCAAAUUGGGACUGAGAUACGGCCCAGACUCCUACGGGAGGCAGAAGUGGGGAAUAUUGCACAAUGGGCGGAAGCCUGAUGCAGCAACGCCGCGUGCGGGAUGACGGCCUUCGGGUUGUAAACCGCUUUCGCCGGUGACGAAGCGUGAGUGACGGUAAUGGGUAAAGAAGCCCCGGCUAACUACGUG
This 468-nucleotide ribosomal RNA is filed under the name uncultured bacterium. Its description in RNAcentral is "partial 16S ribosomal RNA". It matches the Rfam family "Bacterial small subunit ribosomal RNA", at positions 28 to 507 of the family's 1533-position model. The record is from RNAcentral.